GCGCCCAUGGCUCAAUUGGAUAGAGCACCUGACUACGGAUCAGGAGGUUUGGGGUUCGAAUCCCUAUGGGCGUGCCA
Molecule: transfer RNA, 77 nt
Filed under: Cloacimonadales bacterium (SeqCode)
Lineage: Bacteria; Pseudomonadati; Candidatus Cloacimonadota; Cloacimonadia (SeqCode); Cloacimonadales (SeqCode)
Description: tRNA-Arg
Rfam family: tRNA
About the family: Transfer RNA (tRNA) molecules are approximately 80 nucleotides in length.
Source: RNAcentral